UACGUAGGUGGCAAGCGUUAUCCGGAAUUAUUGGGCGUAAAGAGCGCGCAGGUGGUUGAUUAAGUCUGAUGUGAAAGCCCACGGCUUAACCGUGGAGGGUCAUUGGAAACUGGUCGACUUGAGUGCAGAAGAGGGAAGUGGAAUUCCAUGUGUAGCGGUGAAAUGCGUAGAGAUAUGGAGGAACACCAGUGGCGAAGGCGGCUUCUUGGUCUGUAACUGACACUGAGGCGCGAAAGCGUGGGGAGCAAACAGGAUUAGAUACCCCGGUA
This 269-nucleotide ribosomal RNA is filed under the name uncultured prokaryote. Its description in RNAcentral is "partial 16S ribosomal RNA". It matches the Rfam family "Bacterial small subunit ribosomal RNA", at positions 524 to 792 of the family's 1533-position model. The record is from RNAcentral.